GUGGGGAAUAUUGGACAAUGGGCGAAAGCCUGAUCCAGCCAUGCCGCGUGUGUGAAGAAGGUCUUCGGAUUGUAAAGCACUUUAAGUUGGGAGGAAGGUCAGUAAGUUAAUACCUUGCUGUUUUGACGUUACCGACAGAAUAAGCACCGGCUAACUUCGUGCCAGCAGCCGCGGUAAUACGAAGGGUGCAAGCGUUAAUCGUAAUUACUGGGCGUAAAGCGCGCGUAGGUGGUUUUGUAAGUUGGAGGUGAAAUCCCCGGGCUCAACCUGGGAACUGCCUCCAAAACUGCAUGACUAGAGUACGGUAGAGGAUGGUGGAAUUUCCUGUGUAGCGGUGAAAUACGUACAUAUAGGACGCAACACCAGUGGCGAAGACGACUACCUGAACUGAUACUGACACUGAGGUGCGAAAGCGUGGGGAGCAAACAGGAUUAAAUACCCCUGUAGUCC
RNAcentral lists this ribosomal RNA (450 nucleotides) under uncultured bacterium. RNAcentral's name for it is "partial 16S ribosomal RNA". It matches the Rfam family "Bacterial small subunit ribosomal RNA", at positions 354 to 796 of the family's 1533-position model. The record is from RNAcentral.